GAUUAAGACAACAAAGGCCUCUUAUGGGCUAAGGCCUCUUAGGACUUAGUCCCCUGAGAGCUGACACGGCUGGACAAAGAGUGUGCUGUUUGUAACUGUGUGUUUUGGAUCCCCAGUCUAUUUGACUAACCACCAAGGUACACCCUGGUUCUCUUCAUCAAGUUACUGAUCAGCACAGCACAUACUGGGCAACCAGAACAGAUGCUGGCAAUUUGACCAUACAAGUACGUACCAGAUGAAUACCAGCCAUGAUCACAUCACCAAAUGCAUUCCAGGCAACUGAAACACAGAAAAGUUAAUUGACCUGUCCAAGCUAGUUCCUGACCCAGUACUAGGAGGGAGAUUGUCUGACUCCUAUCCAGGAUGUUUAUCAAUAGACUUCAAGCAUUAUUCUAGAAGCAUGAUGUAGCUGAUAAAAUUACUCAUCCAACAGUCACUUACCAAGAACCUGCUAUGUGUCAGGCAAUGUGAGAUGCAAAGACUAAGUACAGUCUCUUCCCUCAAAGGCCUACAACUUGGAGAAACUAUGGAAGCAAAAAUCUGCUUCC
Long non-coding RNA from Canis lupus familiaris (dog), 548 nucleotides. RefSeq lists it as uncharacterized. Lineage: Eukaryota; Metazoa; Chordata; Mammalia; Carnivora; Canidae. The record is from RefSeq and is a predicted model, not a curated record. The transcript is spliced from 4 exons.